Molecule: ribosomal RNA, 476 nt
Filed under: uncultured bacterium
Lineage: Bacteria
Description: bacterial SSU rRNA
Rfam family: Bacterial small subunit ribosomal RNA
Source: RNAcentral
AAUGAACGUUGGCGGCGUGGAUUAGGCAUGCAAGUCGUACGGGCCGCAAGGCCAGUGGCGCAAGGGUGAGUAAGGCGACGGUAACCAACCCCAUGAUUGGGUAUAGCCGCGGGAAACUGCGGGUAAUCCCCAGCGAUGUCAGGCGGGGGCAUCUCGGCCUGACCAAAGCUCCGGCGUCGUGGGACGGGCUGUCGUGGUAUUAGCUAGUUGGCGGGGUAACGGCCCACCAAGGCUGUGAUGCCUACCGGGCGUGCGAGCGUGGCCCGGCACACUGGGACUGAGACACUGCCCAGACUCCUACGGGAGGCUGCAGUCGAGAAUCUUCGGCAAUGGGCGCAAGCCUGACCGAGCGACGCCGCGUGGAGGACGAAGGCCUUCGGGUUGUAAACUCCUGUCGAGGGGGAAGAAGGGGUAACACCUUGACUGAUCCCUGGAGGAAGCACGGGCUAAGUUCGUGCCAGCAGCCGCCGUAAAAC